AGAGUUUGAUCCUGGCUCAGGAUGAACGCUAGCUACAGGCUUAACACAUGCAAGUCGAGGGGCAGCAUUGGGGUAGCAAUACUCAGAUGGCGACCGGCGCACGGGUGAGUAACACGUAUCCAACCUGCCGCUUACUCGGGGAUAGCCUUUCGAAAGAAAGAUUAAUACCCGAUGGUAUAAAGAGUUCGCAUGUUCUCUUUAUUAAAGAAUUUCGGUAAGCGAUGGGGAUGCGUUCCAUUAGAUAGUUGGCGGGGUAACGGCCCACCAAGUCUACGAUGGAUAGGGGUUCUGAGAGGAAGGUCCCCCACAUUGGAACUGAGACACGGUCCAAACUCCUACGGGAGGCAGCAGUGAGGAAUAUUGGUCAAUGGACGAGAGUCUGAACCAGCCAAGUAGCGUGAAGGAUGACUGCCCUAUGGGUUGUAAACUUCUUUUAUAAGGGAAUAAAGUGAGGGACGUGUCCCUUUUUGUAUGUACCUUAUGAAUAAGGAUCGGCUAACUCCGUGCCAGCAGCAGC
Molecule: ribosomal RNA, 517 nt
Filed under: uncultured bacterium
Lineage: Bacteria
Description: bacterial SSU rRNA
Rfam family: Bacterial small subunit ribosomal RNA
Source: RNAcentral